This 243-nucleotide long non-coding RNA is filed under the name Hordeum vulgare. Its description in RNAcentral is "long non-coding RNA (HVUL_LNC012288)". The record is from RNAcentral. Lineage: Eukaryota; Viridiplantae; Streptophyta; Magnoliopsida; Poales; Poaceae.
UCACAUGUAAAUCCACCCGAUCAACAGAAAUAUGCUAAUUAUUUCUUUUUGGAGUUAAAUGGGCUAAUUAUGUCAUUUUAGAGGAAGGAGAAGAAGGAGGAGAGAAGAAGGACAAGAAGAAGGAGAAGAAGGAGGUGAGAAGAAGGAGAAGAAGAAGGAGAUAAGGAGGAGAGAAGAAGGAGAAGAAGAAGGAGAAGAAGAAGGAGAAGAAGAAGGACAAGAAGAAGGAGAAGAAGAAGGAGG